Molecule: long non-coding RNA, 591 nt
Organism: Physella acuta
Lineage: Eukaryota; Metazoa; Mollusca; Gastropoda; Physidae
Source: RefSeq, a predicted model, not a curated record
GUUCCAUCAAGUCUCAGACUUGCUUCAUGCCGACGAAAUAACUCCAUAUCUUUUUGGUGUGUUCCAAAUGACUCGUAUCAAAAUGACGUUUAAGUUUUGAAAGUUUCAUAAACUCAUGGUUGACAACAACUUUUGCAGUUGUAGUCUACCAGUUCGCGAUCGCCCAGAAAGGCCUUCGCGACCCCCAUGGGAGGUUGAAAUUUUAUAUUUCAAGUCAAGAAAUAAUGAGAAACAUAUUGUUAUUGUUAUGUUUAAGAUCUUAAAAAAAUAGAACUGCACUAUCAAAAUGGCAGGUGGAAAGUUUUCCUUAAAGACAAUGGAAAGUUUCCUCUCUGGAGAACACCAUCCUUUUUAAAGUAAAUUUAUAUAAAAGAAACAGAACUUAAAUGUAAAUAAUAAAAAAAAUCAGUAUGUAAAAAACACAUUUUAGCUGUAUCAUGUACUUUUGUAACAAUCUGUUUAUUUGAAUCUCAAAUAUAGUAAAUCAACAAUCAUGCACAAAUGGUAGUAAUUGAAAACAAACAGUGAUUAGUGAUUAAGGAUCACUGGAACAAUAAUUUCAAUAGAUACUUGUAAUAUAUAAGUUUUAUU